RNAcentral lists this long non-coding RNA (1209 nucleotides) under Piliocolobus tephrosceles (Ugandan red Colobus). RNAcentral describes it as "lncRNA (ENSPTEG00000039540.1)". The record is from RNAcentral. Lineage: Eukaryota; Metazoa; Chordata; Mammalia; Primates; Cercopithecidae.
ACCAGUUUCAAGCCAGUUCUAUAGCCCCUAUAACUUUUUCAAUUAAGAUAUUAGAAAAAUUAUUUCAUAGCUUUGUCAAAGCUAAGUUAUAGGAUAUACCCUAUAUAUCUUAUAUGGCCCACCCAGUUCAACUAGGCCUACAAGAUGCCACAUCCCCCAUCAUAGAAGAACUAAUUGCCUUCCACGACCACGCCUUUAUAAUCAUUUCCCUAAUUAGCUUUCUAGUCCUAUAUGUUCUAUCAUCAGUACUCACAACAAAAUUAACAGAUCGCAACCUCAAUACUACCUUCUUCGACCCUGCAGGUGGAGGAGACCCUAUCCUAUAUCAACACCUAUUCUGAUUCUUUGGUCACCCUGAGGUCUACAUCCUUAUUCUACCCGGCUUCGGUAUAAUUUCUCACAUUGUCACUUAUUACUCUGGGAAAAAAGAGCCAUUUGGGUAUAUAGGCAUAGUCUGAGCCAUAAUAUCCAUCGGGUUUCUAGGCUUUAUUGUAUGAGCGCACCAUAUAUUUACAGUUGGUAUAGACGUCGAUACACGAGCCUAUUUCACCUCUGCUACUAUAAUUAUUGCCAUCCCAACUGGCGUUAAAGUCUUCAGCUGACUUGCUACUCUUCACGGAGGUAACAUCAAAUGAUCCCCCGCAAUACUCUGAGCCCUAGGUUUUAUUUUCCUUUUUACUGUAGGGGGCCUAACCGGCAUCGUAUUAGCAAACUCAUCCCUAGAUAUCGUACUACAUGAUACAUAUUAUGUCGUAGCCCAUUUCCACUAUGUCUUGUCAAUAGGAGCUGUCUUUGCCAUUAUAGGAGGUUUUAUUCACUGAUUUCCUUUAUUCUCAGGCUACACACUAGACCAAGUCUGCGCCAAAGCCCACUUCAUAAUUAUAUUUGUAGGCGUAAAUUUAACUUUCUUCCCACAACACUUUCUUGGUCUAUCCGGAAUGCCCCGACGCUACUCCGACUAUCCUGACGCCUACACUACAUGAAAUAUCGUAUCAUCGAUAGGCUCCUUUAUAUCCCUGGUAGCAAUAUUAUUAAUAGUUUACAUAAUUUGAGAAGCCUUUGCCUCAAAACGUAAAGUCCUAUUAAUUGAACAACCUACCUCUAAUCUAGAAUGGCUACAUGGUUCCCCUCCACCCUAUCAUACGUUUGAUGAGCCAGCCUUUAUUAAAAUUAAAUAAAAAAGGAAGGAGUUGAACCCUCUGAAACUGG